GCUGAGGUAGCUUGGUUGUGAAAGCCUUAGUCUAAAGACCUGAAAAUCCCUGGUUCGAUCCCAGGUUUUGGUA
RNAcentral lists this transfer RNA (73 nucleotides) under Ovis aries (sheep). It matches the Rfam family "tRNA". From Rfam's summary of the family: Transfer RNA (tRNA) molecules are approximately 80 nucleotides in length. Lineage: Eukaryota; Metazoa; Chordata; Mammalia; Artiodactyla; Bovidae. The record is from Rfam by way of RNAcentral.